This 2719-nucleotide ribosomal RNA is filed under the name Gammaproteobacteria bacterium. RNAcentral's name for it is "partial 23S ribosomal RNA". It matches the Rfam family "Bacterial large subunit ribosomal RNA". The record is from RNAcentral. Lineage: Bacteria; Pseudomonadati; Pseudomonadota; Gammaproteobacteria.
GAAAUCAACCGAGAUUCCCUUAGUAGUGACGAGCGAAAGGGGACCAGCCCUUAAGUGAUUCGAUGGUUAGCAGAAGGUUCUGGAAAGCUCCGCCAGAGUGGGUGACAGCCCCGUACGCGAAAACCGUCGGAUCAUGAAAUCGAUUAGGGCGGGGCACGUGAAACCCUGUCUGAACAUGGGGGGACCAUCCUCCAAGGCUAAAUACUCUCAGCUGACCGAUAGUGAACCAGUACCGUGAGGGAAAGGUGAAAAGUACCCCUGUUAGGGGAGUGAAAAGUACCUGAAACCGGAUGCGUACAAGCAGUGGGAGCUGGACCGGCCCGCCCGCGCUCUUCGGAGCGCACAGGGUUGACAGUGACUGCGUACCUUUUGUAUAAUGGGUCAGCGACUUACUCUUGCUGGCAAGGUUAACCGUCUAGGGGAGCCGUAGGGAAACCGAGUCUGAAUAGGGCGUCAAGUCUGUAGGAGUAGACCCGAAACCGGGCGAUCUAGCCAUGGGCAGGGUGAAGGUCAGGUAACACUGACUGGAGGCCCGAACCCACCUAUGUUGAAAAAUGGGGGGAUGACCUGUGGCUAGGAGUGAAAGGCUAAUCAAGCUCGGAGAUAGCUGGUUCUCCUCGAAAACUAUUUAGGUAGUGCCUCUUGUAUCACCUCCGGGGGUAGAGCACUGUUUGGGCUAGGGGGUCACCUAGACUUACCAACCCCAUGCAAACUCCGAAUACCGGCGAGUGCAGCAAGGGAGACAGACGGCGGGUGCUAAGGUCCGUCGUCGAAAGGGAAACAGCCCAGACCGCCAGCUAAGGUCCCUAAACCGUGAUUAAGUGGGAAACGAUGUGGGAAGGCAUAGACACCCAGGAGGUUGGCUUGGAAGCAGCCAUCCUUUAAAGAAAGCGUAACAGCUCACUGGUCAAGUCGGCCCGCGCGGAAGAUGUACCGGGUCUUAAAUCACGUACCGAAGCUGCGGGUUCGUGACGGUUCGCCGUCGCGAGCGGUAGAGGAGCGUUCUGUAAGCCGUUGAAGGCAGUUCGCGAGAGCUGCUCGAGGUAUCAGAAGUGAGAAUGCUGACAUGAGUAACGAUAAAGGGGGUGAGAAUCCUCCUCGCCGAAAGACCAAGGGUUCCUGUACAACGUUCAUCGACGCAGGGUGAGUCGGCCCCUAAGGCCAGGCCGAAAGGCGUAGUCGAUGGGAAGCUGGUUAAUAUUCCAGCACCGGCGUUUGUGGCAAUGGGGUGACGGAGAAGGCUAGGCGAUCCUGGAGUUGGUUUUCCAGGUUCAAGCAGGUAGGCUGGGAUUUCAGGCAAAUCCGGAAUCCCUCAAGGCCGAGACGUGAUGCCGAAAUGGAUCCAUCGUAUCCAUGAAGUCGUUGAUGCCACGCUUCCAAGAAAAACCUCUAAGCACUAAUCAAACGUUGACCGUACCCAAAACCGACACAGGUGGUCGGGUAGAGAAUACCAAGGCGCUUGAGAGAACUCGGGUGAAGGAACUAGGCAAAAUGGCACCGUAACUUCGGGAGAAGGUGCGCCGCCGAGGGUGACGGGACUUGCUCCCCUAGCUGUUGGCGGUCGAAGAUACCAGGUGGCUGCGACUGUUUACUAAAAACACAGCACUCUGCAAACUCGCAAGAGGACGUAUAGGGUGUGACGCCUGCCCAGUGCCAGAAGGUUAAUUGAUCAGGUUAGAUCUUCGGAUCGAAGCCUGUGAUCGAAGCCCCGGUAAACGGCGGCCGUAACUAUAACGGUCUUAAAGUAGCGAAAUUCCUUGUCGGGUAAGUUCCGACCUGCACGAAUGGCGUAACGAUGGCCACACUGUCUCCACCCGGGACUCAGUGAAAUUGAAAUCGCGGUGAAGAUGCCGUGUUCCCGCGGCAAGACGGAAAGACCCCGUGAACCUUUACUACAGCUUCACACUGGAUUCUGAUUUGGUUUGUGUAGCAUAGGUGGGAGACUUUGAAGCGCGAGCGCUAGCUUGCGUGGAGUCGCCAUUGAAAUACCACCCUUGCCACGUUGGGAUCCUAACUCAGGCCCAUUAGCUGGGUCGAGAACAGUGUGUGGUGGGUAGUUUGACUGGGGCGGUCUCCUCCCAAAGAGUAACGGAGGAGCACGAAGGUUGGCUAAUCCUGGUCGGACAUCAGGAGGUUAGUGCAAUGGCAUAAGCCAGCUUGACUGCGAGCGUGACGGCGCGAGCAGGUGCGAAAGCAGGUCAUAGUGAUCCGGUGGUUCUGAAUGGAAGGGCCAUCGCUCAACGGAUAAAAGGUACUCCGGGGAUAACAGGCUGAUACCGCCCAAGAGUUCAUAUCGACGGCGGUGUUUGGCACCUCGAUGUCGGCUCAUCACAUCCUGGGGCUGAAGCCGGUCCCAAGGGUAUGGCUGUUCGCCAUUUAAAGUGGUACGCGAGCUGGGUUUAGAACGUCGUGAGACAGUUCGGUCCCUAUCUGCCGUGGGCGUUUGAGAAUUGAGAGGAGCUGCUCCUAGUACGAGAGGACCGGAGUGGACGAACCUCUGGUGUUCCGGUUGUUACGCCAGUAGCAUUGCCGGGUAGCUAAGUUCGGAAGGGAUAACCGCUGAAAGCAUCUAAGCGGGAAGCCCACCUCAAGAUGAGUUCUCACCAAAUCUUCGAGAUUUCUAAAGGGCCCUCGUAGACUACGAGGUUGAUAGGCGGGAUGUGGAAGCGUUGCAAGGCGUUAAGCUAACCCGUACUAAUUGCCCGUGAGGCUUGGCCAU